GGAAGGUAUGCAUGGCAAACAGUGAGCUACUUUGGGGAUAAUUCCCAACUAAGUGUAAUUACUGAUUUUAAAGUCUCUUCAAUUCAUGGAAAUAGAAAGCACAGUCCCUGUGUCAUGGGUCAGACUCACUAGACACACAGCUAAACCACAUUUCCCAUCCUUCCUUGUAGCUAGAUGUGGCUCUAGGACUGAGUUUCUAGCAUACAGAGUAUAAGCAGAAGUUAUGUACAUCACUUCCAGGCCUGGACCAUGGGGAUCCUUCUGGCUUUCUGGAAGAAAGACAACCCGUGGAUGCUUUGUGCUGAAGAAGGUAGAGUCUCCAUCCAUCUAAGUUACCUAAUGGAAAUGAGUCUCUCUACUUAGACCUAUUUGACAUCGCAUACUAUCACUGGAACAAGAAAGAAGUUUCUACUUUAUACAUUUGGAAAGUUAUGUCCCUUCAAAUUAUAGAAUCUAAAAGCAAUUCCUAAAAAAAAAUAAAAAUAGAGGGUAUGUUGAAAAUAUUUUGAGUCAUGCCACUAUCACUGAAGUUCUUAGGAGUAGUUAUGAGUAAAAGCUUUGCAAUCAGGCCUGAAGUAGAGCCGAUAUAAUAUGUGGCAUUGGGAUAGUAAUAGGAUUUCAUAGUAUUGUUCUUUAUGUGUUACCUGUCACAUAAUAAGUGCUCAAGAAAAGUUAGCUUUCAUCAUCAAGUGUAUAUUCUCCCAGGAUACACAAAAUUAAAAAAUUAAAACUGAAUUAGUCAUGAAGUACUUCUGAUAUUCCUUCCAGGAAAAAGGUAGGAUCACACUUCCCUGACCAUUCUUGGGAAGAGCUUACCCCUGUGAUUUAUUUUAACUAAUAAAAUGUGGGUAAAAAUGGCAUGUCACUCUGAAGUGAAAGUAUUUGAAUCAGCAUGGAUUUCAAAUGCUAUUUUUUUUCUCUGUCAUGGCAGCAGCAGUAACUGGAAAUAGCAAGUGACUGUUCUGCCAGCUUAGGUCCUCAAAUUAGUAAAAUACUAGUCAGCACAUGAUAUUUAUGUGCCAUGCCCAAGAAAUGAUUUCUUGUUGUUUUAAGCAACUAGAAAUUGAGGGUAAUUUGUUAUUAGCCUCUCCUGACCUAUAUAGGAAAAAAUAUUCAUAUGAGUUAGUCUAAAAGAUAGUUUCACUAUUUUGCAACAAACUCUAAUAAUAAUAGCUAUUACUGAGUGAUCACCAGAUUCCAAGAACAGACAUAUACUUUACAUGCGUUAACCAUUUUUCACAAUAAUUCAAUAAGACUACCUACAGUAUUCUUAUUCCCACUUCACAGGGACAGAGAGGUUAAAUACCUUGCCAAGGUUACAUAGCCAGAAUUUAGAAAACAACAAGUUUAAAUCAGCCCAUCUGACUCUGGAGGCUGUGCUAUUAACCCUCAUUACAUUACCUCUUGUAGGAUGCUGUAAGUGCACCUCCCAGUUCCCUACUUCAGGACCGGGAUUCUCUUUUUUUUUUUUUUCUUUUUUCUUUUGAUCAACUGCCAAAAGCUUGGGCAGCCAGUGGUAUUUGACCUUGGUCCCUCCUUGGGAAUUGCCCUUGGGCAAAGAGAGCUGUUUCAGCCCAGGUCAGGCUCCCUCCCUGAGGGACUGGUGAGGAUUCUGUUGGGUCUACAUCAUGGUUCAACUUCUUCCUGUUUUCCUUGCAUUUCCUCACAAAAGUAUUCCCCAAUAAACUUUCUUCUUCAUGUAAAUCUCAUAGCCUCUGAAUAUGUUUCUCAAGGACCCACAAUGACAGUACCUCUCCACUGAAACACACAGACUAUGUGUUAACUCAGUGCAUGAUUAAUUGUCAUAGAGCCUGUCAGUUCAGAGAAAGUGAAGAUAACUUGGCUGUCCAGAGAAGGUUUGGAAUGAUGAAAUCUCUCACAAGUUAAUGGAGAUAUAGAGUCUUACUAUCUCAGGUGAAUUCAGUGCACUUCAUUUCUCAUAAAUGUCAUCUCUAGUUGUGUAAAUCCAAACAAAAAAAAUGUCAAAGAAGGAAUUCUCUAUUUUGUAUAUAAUAAAUGAUAGUUGGUCUUUAUAUGUGAACUUAUUCAUACUUAUAAGUAAAAAUGGGGAGUUUUCCAUCAAGAUGGUUGUCUCAAGAGAUGAGAAGACAUGUAUCUUUAUUAUACCAAAUAUUAUAUAACUCUAUUUUUAGUUUUACAUAAAAAUGUAUUGAAAUCUUAUGUCUAAAGUUGAUUUCUGAGAUAUGAUGAAUACAAGCCAAAAUUUAAUUCAUAGCCCAUCAGCUCUUUCUUAGACAUCUUAGCUUAUUUAACACUAAACUCUAAUCAUAUUUAAGUUGGUCCGCAUUAGUUUUAUGUAUUUCCUUUAGCAUCAUUAUGUAUUUCUCAUAAUUCAAACUCUAUCCCAAUAUCAGUUGCCUACAUUUACUCAAAGGAGAAAUAUAUAUUUUAAAACUUGAAAUAAAUAAGUAGAAUCAUAGAGGCAGUGACAAAACAAACAAAUUAUAAAACCAAAAGAGUGAAUGGAUCUAUGGAAUUUAAAAUAAAUAUUAUCACAGACUUUACCUUGAUAUGCACAUAAUUCACACUUUGUAUUUUCUACUUACAUAUCUUCACCAUAUAUUGAUGUAGAUUAAUGAUCCAUGUUAUAGAGAGUUCAGGAAAAAUUAGAUUAUUAUAUUUUUUUCUUUAUGGUAUUUAUUUUUAUUCUCUCCCUAACCAAAGAAGCUUGAAUUCAGCAAUAAGAACUUGAACCCAGCAAUGAGAAGUUAAAAUUGAGUAGCUUGUGCUGUUCAUAGAAUUUUUAAAAGCUUAAAUCAGCAUGCAGCUUGCAUUUAUAAAACAGGUAGCAAGGCCCUUCAUUACCAUCAUUUUCAAAAUGUAAAUAAGAAUGAUAUUCCUUAUUGGCCGCUUUAAUCUCAUUGAAUGUACAUUAAGUUAUGUCAAUGCUUCAGUGGGGACAUAUUUUUGCAUUCAUAUUAUGAACCACUGAACAAUUGCUUUAUUUUCACAGAAUUACACAUAAGAAUAGAAAACGCAUACAUUAUAAAUUAGAACAGUACUUCAGAGAAACCCCUUGAAGUAACCAAGGACAGAACAGCCAAAAGAAUGGAAAUGUUAAGUGACAGGACAUUUUCAGAGAAAGACAAUCUUUAGAAAAAAAUUGCAAGUGACUCAGACAAAUCAAACUAAUCAAAGACCUCCAUAAUAGUGGUUCUUAUGAGGUUAGUAAAAGAAAAGAAUUAUCUAAAAUUCACAUAUCAAGUCUUGGCAGGUGAGUAGUUGCUUUUUUCUGCAGUUUAAGAAUGUUUGAAAACAAUUUGUUUACUGAAAAAAAUUUAAAAUUUCUCCCAACAGCAAUUUCAUUUUACAUAUUAACUUAGACUUAUUAAAGCAACAGCUGGCACUAGCUGUGCUCUGAGGUUUAUAAACUCACAUCUCAGAAGUGAUUCAUGCCCCUCCCUGGAGCUAUUCUUCCAUUCAGCCAGGCAACAUCUUGUCACCUUUGUGAUAUCAAGUACUAGAUUUCUAUCUCAUGUGGAUUUUCUGAAGGACAUAUAUUAUGAUAUUUUAUACAGUAGUGCUCCUUCUAUCAAAAUCUCAUCAUAGAAAUAUCUAAGCAUGAAUAUAAACAUAUUUAAUUUAAAAUGAACUCUUCCACAUCAUGUACAACCACAACAAUGGGAAGUUGUACUCCAUGUAUGUAUAUUAUGUCAAAAUGCACUCUGUCAUGUAUAUCUAAAACAAAUGAAAUACAAAGGAAUGAGAAUGAAAAAAAAUGAACUUUUAAAAUGUCAUUUUGUCUAAAUAUGAUAACUUUUGUUUUCCUCAUUACAUUUUAUCUUAGGAAUAACUAUUUGAUCCAAUUCUGACAUUGCCCAGGACACAAGAAUUCAAAUGCACUGUGAACUCCUAAGUCAGAGUGAGAACAUACAAAAAUUUGCCCAUGACACAUUCACUAACACAAACCCUGAGAUAGAAUCAGCUUUAGAAAGAAUAAUAAUCAUUACUCUAAAAAGCAUUUUUUUGUCGGGAUAUACUAAACCGAAAAGUGGUUUCUGCUUUCAAAACAGUUUUUUCUAAUUAUAAUUAUUAAGUAUUAAUUUCAUUAUUUUUCAAAUGAUUACAAAUUCUCAAUUUGAAGAGGGAAAAUAUUAGAUAUUUUAGUAGAUAUUUUAGAGAACAAAGCAGUAAUCACAUAGGUCUAUCUCACGUCCCAUAAUCUCUUUCUCUGCAGGACUAUUAAAGAGGAAGAUAUGGCAAUUGGUGCAGAACACAGGCUCUGGAGCCAGACUGCCUGAGUUCAUGUCUUGACCUAACCACUUUCCAGCUAAGUGAACUUGGCUUCUUUACCUGGCUCCCUGUGUCUUAGCUUCCUCCUCUAAUAAAUGGAAACAUCCAUAACUACCUACAUUAUAGGAUUGUUGUAAAGAUUACAUGUAUUUAUACAGAUGAAGCAAUUAAAAUAGUGCCUAGCACAGGGGAAACACUCCAAAAGCAUUAGCUACCUUGUUUUGUCUCUUCAUUUUUCAUGCUGAAGUUGACUUACAAAUUCCCCAAAUUUAAUGUCCUAGUUUAGACACUCAAGUAAGCUAUUAUGUGUGCAUGAUGUUUUUUUUUUUUUAUUAAGUUUUCUUACCAUUGAAAAAUGUGUAUAUAACACCUGGACAUUGAAAAAAAAAACAGGUGGCUUUUUAAAUAGCUUGGUAUUGUAGAGAAUUGUGACCCACUUACUUUUGGCCUGUUGAAUAGCCCAGCCUUUCAUACCCUAAGCUUAGAACAUAAGAAACGUCCCGCUGAGUUGUACCCUGCCUUCUGCAGCGCAACAUUGUAUCUUUGGCAAGAGAACUAGAAGAAAGCUCUAGAGAUAAUAUGGCUGCUCACCAUGUAUCCAAUCGAAGGCGUUGGGCUGGUAUACAGCAACCUAUGUACCUUCCCUCAGACCCACCACCGAUCAGUCAUUAUCUUCCCCAAUCCAUCUUAAAUCAUGUUACAUUUUAAGUCUAUUCCAACUUAUGAAGACAACAAGCUAAAUAGAUAUAUUACUUUCUUUUUCAUAUUUAUCCUUCAAACUACACUUUUAAUCUUCACUAAGUGUCUUUUUGUUCUGGAAUUCCAAAAUAAGGAAAUUAGUAUUAAAAUAAGAAAAAAGAAUCAUAUAAAUAAGACAUUCCAAACAUUUGUAAUAUUACUUUAAUAUUUCAGAUAUUUACUUCCUAAAGAACUUUAUUAAUCAGAUAAAUCCUGUAGGAAUAUUUGCUCCUGGGAGACUGAUUGCUCUCAUGAUUCUCAUUUGCAUCAAUGAACUUCUUUUCACCUGGCCAAUCAAUAUGGUAAGACACUCAGAGUUCAUUAUCAUAGAAGCAAUGGAUUUUAUCUGAGCACAGUUUCUCAUUUAAAAUAAUAGAUAUAAAUUCCUUAUUUGUAUACAAAUUUAUACUAAUUAGCUUUGUUUCUAAACUUAGAGGUAUUACAUAGAUAAGUUUAUCAAAUGGCUUGUAUUCUUUGAGAUGUGUGAUACUUGGAUUUAUACAAUGUAAAUCUGUAAAAAUUAAUUUCAUUCAAUAUAAUUUCAAGUAUUCCUUUAAGUAAAUAAUGUUGCAUGACAAUAAGUUUUCUAAAUUAAUAUCCAUAGUUGCACUCUUCAUUAGUAAUGGGCUAAUAGUUACUACUAUGUUUCCCUUCAACUUAAAAGUAUGCUUUUAAAAUAUUUUUAUUUUUUCAUAUUGUAAAAAAUAAGCAGCAUGUCUUCUACUUUUUUCUUUAAAUACACUAAUCAGGUAAAUAAGCUUUAAUAAAUGCUGUUUAUAAAGAGCAUUGUUACUCCCUGAAAGCUUUUUUAAUAUUAUCCUAAAGAUAUUGUGACAAAACUUAAUUUGCAUGUAUCAUAUAACCUAGUAAUAUAUAUAUAUAUAUAUAUAUAUAUAUAUAUAUAUAUAUAUAUAUAUAUAUAUAUAACCCAGUAAUAUAUAGUAAUAAUAUUCUAUCCUUUGAAAUUUAACCAAGAGAAAUGAAAAUGUGUCCACAUAAAGACUGUUGGUGAUAUGUGCCAUGUUUAUGGCAGCAUUAUUUUUAUUAAACAAAAAGUUGGAAGAAUCCAAAUGUUCAUCAAUUUAUAAUGGCUAAAUAAAAUGUAAUGCAUCCAUAUGAUGGUGCAUUAUUCAUCAAUAAAAAGGAAUAAAGCACUGACUUGUGCUACAAACAUGAACUUAGAAAAUAUUAGGCUGAUUGAAAAAUAGUCAUACACAAAAGACUACAUACUCUGUGUUUCCAUAUACAGGAAAUGUCCAGAAAAGGCAAAUCUAUAAGACAGCAAGUAAACUAGUGAAUGGUUGUCUAGAGCAGGGGUGAGAAUGAGGAGGUAUGACAAGAAGGCACAUGGGAUGUUGGAAAUAUCCUAAUGCUGAAUUGCAGUGAUGGUUGCUUCAGUCUAUAAAUUUAUUUUUAAAACUAUUAAAUUAUGCACUCAAAAUGAGAAAAUAUAUAGUAUGUAAAUUAUAUACCAAUAAAGCUACUUGAUAAAAUAGGCAAUAUCUAAUACUUGAAAAUAUAAAAGGGGACAGCUGACCUUAUUUCCACUUACAUAUGCACAGAGAGUCCUCAGCACUGUCCCCCAGGGCAGUUCAUUGGUUGUCUUGAGUCACACACUUGGUUGAGUACAAUGAAAUGCACAUGGGCAUCACCACCACAAUGUGCCAGUACUGUUCUAUAUCCUAAUGUCAUAAGAUUGAGUUAUAGCAGUCCCAUCUCAAGAAAUAGCCCCAUCAUUUUCUUUUACCUUUGAAAUAUCAAACUGCCCCAGAAACGUACAUGCAAACCUCUUAAUGUAGCAUAUAAAUAACCAUAUAAGUUUGACACCUAUACAAAAAAAUCCAGAAAAAAACUUACCAGCACAACCUUAUACACAACCUGUCGCAUCACACAUCAAUAGUAUGAGUACCACACCAUACUGGUAUUCCAGUGGCUGGUCUUUUUUCCCUCCUUUCCUUCCUUCUUUUCCUAUAAAUAUUUACUGAACGCCUACAUGUUUCAAACAUUUCUAGGUAUGUGACAAAAUUAUUUGCAGUCAUGGAACUUGCAGUGUAGUACAUUUUAUGCAUUAAUUAUCUACUGCCAGGCAACAAGAUUAACCCAAACUUAGUACCUUAAAAAAUAUACAUUUAUCAAUUCACAAUGUCUGUGGGUCAGGAUUCUGAACACUGCUUAGCUAGGUCUUCUGUAAGGCUGCAAAUAAGGUGUCAACAAGGGCGUACUCUCAUCUGAGGUUCAAGUGGAGAAAGACCUUCAUUCUCCACAAGGGAAAUGAGGUUGAAAAAAUAUGCUAUGUUCAUGUGUGAAUAUAUUGCAAUGCAUUCCAAUUUUAUAUAGAAACUAAAAAGUAAACAAAUAUAAGAAAGACCAAAGGAGUAGAGGAAGGGGAUCAGGAGAAGGGAGGUGGGGAGGGAAAGGGGAAAUACUGGGAAUUAAAUUGGAGAAAACUAUGUUAUAUGAAAUUAUGAAUAUGUCAAAAUGAACUCCACUAUUGUGUAUAACUAUAAUGCACUAAAAUUUUUUCUAAUAGGAAAACAUCUAUUUGUCACUCAUUUUUGGAAGUAUUUAGUGUUUGAUUCCUUGCAAGUGCCGGACGGAGGGCUUCAGUUUCCAGUCAACUGUUUGCCAGAGGCUGUCCUCAAUUUCUUGCAUGUGGCCCUUUUCAUGGACACCUUACCACAUGUCAGGUUGCGUUUUCAAAGCCAGCAGAGGAGACUCUUCUCACAAG
Molecule: long non-coding RNA, 7720 nt
Filed under: Marmota monax (woodchuck)
Lineage: Eukaryota; Metazoa; Chordata; Mammalia; Rodentia; Sciuridae
Source: RNAcentral